This 464-nucleotide ribosomal RNA is filed under the name uncultured bacterium. Its description in RNAcentral is "bacterial SSU rRNA". It matches the Rfam family "Bacterial small subunit ribosomal RNA", at positions 339 to 796 of the family's 1533-position model. The record is from RNAcentral.
CUACGGGAGGCAGCAGUGGGGAAUCUUGCGCAAUGGGCGAAAGCCUGACGCAGCGACGCCGCGUGGGUGAUGAAGGCCUUCGGGUUGUAAAGCCCUGUGGAAGGAGACGAAUAAGUCGCGGCUAACAUCCACGAUGAUGACGGUAUCCUUUUAGCAAGCACCGGCUAACUACGUGCCAGCAGCCGCGGUAAGACAGAGGGUGCAAACGUUGUUCGGAAUUACUGGGCGUAAAGCGAGUGUAGGCGGUUUGGAAAGUCGGAUGUGAAAGCCCCAGGCUCAACCUGGGAAGUGCAUUCGAUACUCUCAAGCUAGAGUACUGGAGAGGUUGGUGGAAUUCUCGGUGUAGAGGUGAAAUUCGUAGAUAUCGAGAGGAACACCGGUGGCGAAGGCGGCCAACUGGACAGAUACUGACGCUGAGACUCGAAAGCGUGGGGAGCAAACAGGAUUAGAAACCCUAGUAGUCC